GUGCCUGCCCAGUGACCGUGUGUUCAACGGCCGCGGUAUGUUAACCGUGCAAAGGUAGCGCAAUCACUUGUCUCUUAAAUGGGGACCUGUAUGAAUGGCCUGACGAGGGCUUAACUGUCUCCUCUCUCCAGUCAAUGAAAUUGAUCUCCCCGUGCAGAAGCGGGGAUACCACCAUAAGACGAGAAGACCCUAUGAAGCUUCAGACGCAAGGCAGCUUACGUUUAUCCAUCCUUUAGAAGAACCAAACUUAGUAACUCCUGUCCUUAAUGUUUUUGGUUGGGGCGACCAUGGGGAAACAAAAAACCCCCACGAGGAAAGGGAGAACUUAACCUAAAACCAAGAGCCGCAGCUCUCAGUAACAAUAUUUUUGACCACUAUGAUCCGGGCUUACCGAUCAACGAACCGAGUUACUCUAGGGAUAACAGCGCAAUCCUCUUAUAGAGUUCCUAUCGACAAGGGGGUUUACGACCUCGAUGUUGGAUCAGGACAUCCUAAUGGUGCAACC
RNAcentral lists this ribosomal RNA (505 nucleotides) under Serranus tabacarius (tobaccofish). RNAcentral describes it as "partial 16S ribosomal RNA". It matches the Rfam family "Bacterial large subunit ribosomal RNA", at positions 1854 to 2560 of the family's 2925-position model. The record is from RNAcentral. Lineage: Eukaryota; Metazoa; Chordata; Actinopteri; Perciformes; Serranidae.